ACGCUGGCGGCGUGCUAACACAUGCAAGUCGAGCGAGAAGCCAUUGACUGAAACUUCGGUAGAAGGAUAUGGUGGAAAGCGGCGGACGGGUGAGUAACGCGUAGGCAACCUGCCCCUUACAGAGGGAUAGCCAUUGGAAACGAUGAUUAAAACCUCAUAACGCAUCCCCCUCACAUGGAGGGGAUGCCAAAGAUUCAUCGGUAAGGGAUGGGCCUGCGUCUGAUUAGCUAGUUGGCGGGGUAACGGCCCACCAAGGCGACGAUCAGUAGCCGACCUGAGAGGGUGAUCGGCCACAUUGGAACUGAGACACGGUCCAAACUCCUACGGGAGGCAGCAGUGGGGAAUAUUGCACAAUGGGCGAAAGCCUGAUGCAGCAACGCCGCAUGAGGGAUGAAGGCCUUCGGGUCGUAAACCUCUGUCCUUGGGGAAGAAACAAAUGACGGUACCCAUGGAGGAAGCCCCGGCU
This 466-nucleotide ribosomal RNA is filed under the name uncultured Clostridium sp. Its description in RNAcentral is "bacterial SSU rRNA". It matches the Rfam family "Bacterial small subunit ribosomal RNA", at positions 33 to 498 of the family's 1533-position model. The record is from RNAcentral. Lineage: Bacteria; Bacillati; Bacillota; Clostridia; Eubacteriales; Clostridiaceae.